This is a non-coding RNA of Ciona savignyi (Pacific transparent sea squirt), 118 nucleotides long. Lineage: Eukaryota; Metazoa; Chordata; Ascidiacea; Phlebobranchia; Cionidae. The record is from Rfam.
GCUUAUCCCCCUUCCAGAAUGAAUAUACCCCAUCUCCUCUGAUCUCCGAAGUCAAGCAAUCUCCGGCUUGGUUAAUACUUGGAUGGGUGACCCCUUGGGAAUACCAAGGGGGAAACCC